AUGUCUGGAGGGCCACUGCACGCGUGGAACAAAUGGGCAAUUCAAAUCCUCGUACUGCUCAGCUUCGGUCUGCAAAUCCUCCUCUUUAUCCUUGCCUCUACCAGGCGGCACAGAUCCUCCACCCGGCUGCAGAUCUUCCUGAGGCUGAUCCUUUGGCUCGCCUAUCUCAUGGCCGACUCCACCGCCGUAUACACUCUUGGCCAUCUUUCCAUGAGUGGUUGGUUACCCGAGCAUCAGCUCGUGGCAUUCUGGGCGCCCUUUCUCCUCCUACAUCUUGGUAGCCAGGACAACAUCACUGCGUACGCCCUUGAGGACAACCAGCUCUGGCCACGCCACCUGCUAACUCUUGGCGUCCAAACCGUUGGGGUUUGUUAUGUCUUGUAUAAACAUAUGACCCAUGAACCAGCCAUGGUGGUAGCAGCCAGCUUGAUGUUCAUUGUUGGUUUCCUCAAGUACUUGGAGAGGACAUGGGCCCUCAAGCGCGCCACUCUUGAUAACAUCCGAAGCUCGAUCAAGGCUCAACCCUCUAGGGAUGUGCCGGUUGGGUCAAAGGAUAGUACAAGAGAUAUAGAUGAAGAAGAGCUUUUGUUGUUUGCUCACCAUGUGCUCCCUACUUGCAUGGCUGCGCUGACUGAUUAUUCCGAGGAUUCAGGUAAAGUUUCUGAAAAUUGGAGAGGGCAGCAUAUCGGCAAGGUAGUUGAGUUGGAGCUCUCCCUCAUGUAUGACAUCCUCUACACCAAGGCAACCAUGAUUCACCAUUGGUAUGGCUACUUUCUCCGUGUCAUCUCACCGCUCGCCACUAUUGUUGCAUUCUUGUUGUUUCAUUUCUAUGGUAAACAAGGACAGUCCAAAAUAGAUGUUAUCAUCACGUACAUCUUGUUUGGUGGUGCACUGCUUCUGGACAUGGUAUCAUUAGUCAAGGCUGCAUUUUCUACAUGGACAUGUGAUUUACUGGACAAUAAAGGAGGAUGGGGUGCGACGCUUUGUAAGCGACUUCAGUCUUCUCGUCGCCUUGUCAAGGCAGCAGCCUGUAGGCCGAUAUGCUCUAGAGGUUGGUCAGGAUCCAUCGGGCAGUAUAAUUUGUUUGACGUGUGCUGUCGUGAUAUGGCAAAGAGAAGCAUCAGAGUGUUAAAGAAGAUAAAGCUUGAUGAUUGGUGGAAGAGAUAUCAGUACAAGGGGACCCUGGUGAUUCAGAGUGAUGUGAAGAAGUUGUUGUUUCAACGGAUAUGGCAGUUGAUUCUGAAAAAUGAUGAUCUCUCUGGGAUGUUCAAUGUGAAAUCCGCACAUGGUAAAAAUAUUGAACUUCAGGAAGUGGUUUUUAUAUGGCACAUGGCCACCAACAUUUUCCUCUCGUAUCUCCAAGGAGCAAAGGUAGAACCCCAAUGUGUGAACACCAUCAAGGCCAUCAAGGCCCUGUCAAAUUACAUGAUGUUUCUUGCCGUGGCACGCCACGACAUGCUACCAGCCCUUAAGCUCCGCAGCAUGUGCGAGAAGACUAGCAAUGAUUUGGAGGAAAUAUGGAGUGCAGCGGGUCCUGAAGGAAGGAAGGCAGGGUUUGUAGGCAUACUGGAUGGGCUGACCUUCAUGAAGAAGACUGGACCCUUCUUCUUGUAUGAUAAGCGCGACUAUGGAACCGUGUUUGCCCGGCAACUGGAACGUGCGAUAGGAGGUCAGACUUUGCGUGCAAGAAUUGCUAUGGACCAUGAGAGCAGACGCAUGUUUGGGCAUAUACUGCCUAACUUUGGCGGACACGAAACUCCAGUGGGAGUGGAGAAAGUGUUGGACCUCGUCUUGGAUGGAUGGGUGCGUAUGCUGGUCGCUGCGUCAAUCAAAAGCAGCAGGGAGUCCCAUGCCAAGCAGCUCAGCCACGGCGGAGAGCUCAUAACCAUCGCGUGGAUCAUGACGGAGCACUUCCAAAGGCGUGUGCCUCGGUGA
This 1935-nucleotide ribosomal RNA is filed under the name Triticum aestivum (bread wheat). Its description in RNAcentral is "partial small subunit ribosomal RNA". The record is from RNAcentral. Lineage: Eukaryota; Viridiplantae; Streptophyta; Magnoliopsida; Poales; Poaceae.